ACUAGGGCUUUGGGGUAGUUAGAAG
This 25-nucleotide non-coding RNA is filed under the name Cricetulus griseus (Chinese hamster). The record is from RNAcentral. Lineage: Eukaryota; Metazoa; Chordata; Mammalia; Rodentia; Cricetidae.